Molecule: long non-coding RNA, 752 nt
Filed under: Nicotiana benthamiana
Lineage: Eukaryota; Viridiplantae; Streptophyta; Magnoliopsida; Solanales; Solanaceae
Description: long non-coding RNA (NBEN_LNC021336)
Source: RNAcentral
UAUAUGAGGGUUUAAGAGCUGUGUAAUGAGAAUAGGAAUACAAUUUUUGUUUUGCUAAUGAAAGAAACAUUUAUUAAUAGCACAAACGGAAGUUAUUACAUGAUGGUAACUGAACGUAUACUCCUAUUUCCAUAAAGUUCUUCCUUUAGUUCAUUAAGGAUAAAGGAGGGUGGGUUUACAAAAGUCAAAAUAUUUUUUUCCAUGGCAGGAUCUCUGCUUUCCCAUAACAGGCCAGUUUAUCUGUUGUGGCAUUAGCUUUCCUAAAGAUUUGGCACGCCUGUAGGCUAUCCAGCUUCUCCAUUUGGUGCCUGAAAUCCAUUACCAUGUGUGAGAAAGCUAGAUUAUUAGAUGAUAAUAGUUGAAUCAAUACCUGUGAAUCAGUUUUAACAAUAAGUGGAACUAACUUGUUACUGAAUGUCAGCCUUAGAUCAUUGUAAAAGGCCAGUAUUUCCAUAUGAAUGGCAGAGUGUGUAUAGUUGAGAUUUGUGUUGGAAAUAUAAAAGAAAUGAUGGGUAAUUGAAAAGAAACUUUUGUAUUAAAUUGACUAGAAGACAAACAAUACACUACACAAUAUAAUAUUUUUAAUCUCACAAUCACUCUCUCAAAUUAUUUUGUAAUACAACUAAAACACACACAAACACUAUUUUUUUUUCACUCUAAGUGCUUCGGCACUCUAUUCUCCCUUUUUUACAAACUAACUUCUCUCUUGUUUUCUCUUUGUUUUUCUUCUCCUUGCUUCUCAUACAAUUUCA